Molecule: ribosomal RNA, 253 nt
Filed under: uncultured bacterium
Lineage: Bacteria
Description: partial 16S ribosomal RNA
Rfam family: Bacterial small subunit ribosomal RNA
Source: RNAcentral
UACGAAGGGGGCUAGCGUUGCUCGGAAUCACUGGGCGUAAAGCGCACGUAGGCGGACUCUUAAGUCAGGGGUGAAAUCCUGGAGCUCAACUCCAGAACUGCCUUUGAUACUGGCAACCUAGAGGCUGGAAGAGGUUAGUGGAAUUCCCAGUGUAGAGGUGAAAUUCGUAGAUAUUGGGAAGAACACCAGUGGCGAAGGCGGCUAACUGGUCCAGAUCUGACGCUGAGGUGCGAAAGCGUGGGGAGCAAACAGG